RNAcentral lists this unclassified non-coding RNA (380 nucleotides) under uncultured bacterium. RNAcentral's name for it is "contains 16S-23S intergenic spacer region". The record is from RNAcentral.
UCCGAGUUGUCCCCGGCAGUCCUCUUAGAGUCCCCGGCAUUACCCGCUGGCAACUAAGAGCAGGGGUUGCGCUCGUUGCGGCACUUAAGCCAACACCUCACGACACGAGCUGACGACAGCCAUGCAGCACCUGUGCACGUGUCCCGAAGGAGGCCCCUGCUUUCACAGGGGUUUCACGUGCAUGUCAAGCCCAGGUAAGGUUCUUCGCGUUGCUUCGAAUUAAACCACAUGCUCCACCGCUUGUGCGGGCCCCCGUCAAUUCCUUUGGGUUUUAGUCUUGCGACCGUACUUCCCAGGCGGAGAACUUAAUGCGUUAGCUUCGGCACCGCAGGGGUCAACUCCCGCGACACCUAGUUCUCAUCGUUUACGGCGUGGACUAC